This 2498-nucleotide long non-coding RNA is filed under the name Daucus carota (carrot). RNAcentral describes it as "long non-coding RNA (DCAR_LNC003928)". Lineage: Eukaryota; Viridiplantae; Streptophyta; Magnoliopsida; Apiales; Apiaceae. The record is from RNAcentral.
UGUAAUUGAACUUCAAUUAAUUUGAGGGGAACCUAGAACUGAAUCUCUGUUACAAAUAUUUGAUUUAAUUCAGAUAGUAUGGCAUUGUUAAAAAUUUAGUGUUAUACUUGCUGAGCAUUGCUCACUCUUGCUAUUAUUUCUAACCCUUGCAGCUAAGGAUUAAGGUGGUCACCUGGGUAAGCUGCGCGUAAGAGUAAUGCUAGGCGAGACUGCUAGGGAGGUGGCUGCGAGACUAGUAUGGUUAGAGUUGAAUUAUUUCAAUUCAGUUGUAGAUGGUUUUUAUUUAUUGGUUAUCAGUUAUCCUUCUUACCGAAGUUUAGCUGAUAACGUAGUUUAAGUUGUAAAAAGAUUUUAUAGUUUGGGUUCUGGUUUCAAUGCUGUAACCUAUUUGCGAUCCUGUUGUUAGGGGGUCAAAGUGAUUUUGAUUUAAAUCUCUUUUAAAAAUCCAGAUUUUGAAAUAUAUGUUUUACCUUCUUCCGGAAAUACAGGUUUAAAUUGAUUUUUGUCCACGUGGCACCAGAUCCAGACCCCUGGAUCUGAGGGAUGUCACAGUUGGUAUCAGAGCUGUAGGUUAUAAGUUAUUGAAAUCAGAAUAUAGAUUGUAAUAGAAAUGUGUUUAAUGGAACCUCAUAUAGAGGCAAGUUGAGACUAUUGGAUAUAGUAUUUGUCUAUGGAACUGAGAUGGAGUUAGAAUAUUGAUUCUGAGUAAUCAUUUGGUAUAUCAUAGUUCCUAACUCUAGAACUAAUGAGUUGGAUAUCGGGAGAGACAUGAUAGCAUACCUUUAGUUUCCAAUCUUCUAGAGCUUGAGGCUGACUUUCUGAGUAAUCAGUGCCCGCUAGACUUGUGGAUUGACAUGUCUAACCUAGAAUGUUCCUUAUCAUCUCUACCAUUCCUAGAGGGUUGGAUAGAGGGUUAUCUAUUGUUUCUUAUAGAGACAUAUGGAUUUGGUAGAUGAGUAUGAGAUUGGUGAUGAGAAGUCAGGAGUGUAGUUCUCAAAUUGAGAAUUUAUGUAGAAUCCAUGUUAGAUUAUUUGAUAUAGUACCUAUUAGUAGGUUUGAGCGUCAACGCUCUACAAGGCUGAUUGUAUAAAGCUGGACAUGACUUCUGACAACACCAAGCUCGAUAGGACCUACUAACAUGGAUAUCGGUGACGGAAUCUAUAGAGACUAUUAUAAGUCAACGAUAAUAUAUGCAAGCGAUCACCAAGAGUGCUGAAAAGAAUUCUUGGAAUCAAGAUAAGCCAUCAGAGGAAUCAAGUAAGAAGACACUUGUGAGAAUCUUGGCAAUACCUUCUUCAAUUGACUGAUUAAAUUGAUUAUUUCUCUAUCAGUGAUUGUUUUAACAUCUCUUUCAGCGAGACGUUCAUUAAAGAGAAUAUUUCUCUUUAAGAGUAUAUUUUUCACUCUUGAAAUUAUAGAAUGAUGCCAGUGCUUGUGGUAUCAUUUCUGAUCACUUUUCUUUCGAAUUCAGCACAUUUGGAAUCUAUUCCCUAUUUGAACCCCAGGUGCGCAUGAAACUUUUCUCCAAUUAAAGGCAACCAUUGUUAAGUUAAUUAUGAACCCUUUUAUAUUUUUCUACUCUAACUGAGAUGAACAACUCUAAUUAUAGGGGACACAAUGACUCCCUGUCCUCAUUUAGAUACGCAACAUUCUAUCAGGAGGAAACGGUACUAAAGAAUAAAGAAAUAUUACGUUUUAGUCUUCUCUCNCUCUUGCUAUUAUUUCUAACCCUUGCAGCUAAGGAUUAAGGUGGUCACCUGGGUAAGCUGCGCGUAAGAGUAAUGCUAGGCGAGACUGCUAGGGAGGUGGCUGCGAGACUAGUAUGGUUAGAGUUGAAUUAUUUCAAUUCAGUUGUAGAUGGUUUUUAUUUAUUGGUUAUCAGUUAUCCUUCUUACCGAAGUUUAGCUGAUAACGUAGUUUAAGUUGUAAAAAGAUUUUAUAGUUUGGGUUCUGGUUUCAAUGCUGUAACCUAUUUGCGAUCCUGUUGUUAGGGGGUCAAAGUGAUUUUGAUUUAAAUCUCUUUUAAAAAUCCAGAUUUUGAAAUAUAUGUUUUACCUUCUUCCGGAAAUACAGGUUUAAAUUGAUUUUUGUCCACGUGGCACCAGAUCCAGACCCCUGGAUCUGAGGGAUGUCACAGUUGGUAUCAGAGCUGUAGGUUAUAAGUUAUUGAAAUCAGAAUAUAGAUUGUAAUAGAAAUGUGUUUAAUGGAACCUCAUAUAGAGGCAAGUUGAGACUAUUGGAUAUAGUAUUUGUCUAUGGAACUGAGAUGGAGUUAGAAUAUUGAUUCUGAGUAAUCAUUUGGUAUAUCAUAGUUCCUAACUCUAGAACUAAUGAGUUGGAUAUCGGGAGAGACAUGAUAGCAUACCUUUAGCUUCCAAUCUUCUAGAGCUUGAGGAUGACUUUCUGAGUAAUCAGUGUCCGCUAGACUUGUGGAUUGACAUGUCUAACCUAGAAUGUUCCUUAUCAUCUCUACCAUUCCUAGAGGGUUGGAUAGAGGG